GCCGAAGUGGUGGAAUUGGUAGACACGCUAGGUUCAGGGUCUAGUGGUCGCAAGGCCGUAGGAGUUCGAGUCUCCUCUUCGGCA
RNAcentral lists this transfer RNA (84 nucleotides) under Desulfocurvibacter africanus subsp. africanus str. Walvis Bay. RNAcentral describes it as "Desulfovibrio africanus str. Walvis Bay tRNA". It matches the Rfam family "tRNA". From Rfam's summary of the family: Transfer RNA (tRNA) molecules are approximately 80 nucleotides in length. Their secondary structure includes four short double-helical elements and three loops (D, anti-codon, and T loops). Further hydrogen bonds mediate the characteristic L-shaped molecular structure. tRNAs have two regions of fundamental functional importance: the anti-codon, which is responsible for specific mRNA codon recognition, and the 3' end, to which the tRNAs corresponding amino acid is attached (by aminoacyl-tRNA synthetases). tRNAs cope with the degeneracy of the genetic code in two manners: having more than one tRNA (with a specific anti-codon) for a particular amino acid; and 'wobble' base-pairing, i.e. permitting non-standard base-pairing at the 3rd anti-codon position. Lineage: Bacteria; Pseudomonadati; Thermodesulfobacteriota; Desulfovibrionia; Desulfovibrionales; Desulfovibrionaceae. The record is from Rfam by way of RNAcentral.